CUCUUCCCGCCUCCUCCCGGCUCUCCCUUCCAGCCUCUGCUCGUCUUUCCAAAGACUCUCGAGUCUCCUCCACCUUCCGUUCCACCCAGCGAGCGUGGACGAGGCGCCCUCCUCGCCCUGCUAGACUGGCUCACAGGACGGGGGGAGGGUGGCCCCUGCCCUGAGCUACAGGCAGAAGAUGCCCCCCGAGCCUGGCACCCUCGGCCUGGCAGGAGCUGCCUCUGCGCCCCGGCUUCCGCCAAGUGCCCGCCGGCCUCUCGGGGCCUCUGCCGGGGGACAGGAGCGGCCCAGCGCCGGAAGCCCUUUCAGCCCUUCGGGUAGCGCCGGUGAACCAGGAAGAGGCCCCGGCCGGCAUUUCCCUCCCCGAGUCAGUGGGCCAAGAACGGGCUGAGCAGCCCGAAGGAAGGCCCCGUUGGCUGAGGGGCUCCAUCUCUGGCCUCCUCUGCGUCCGCAGCUCGGCCGCCCCUGCCCAGCCCCUGAGGGGGAGCUCGAACCCCGGACGUGGAGACGGAGCUCGUUCUGAGAAGCGACAGCCAGAGCAGGGCCGGCGACCCGGGCGACGCAGGGGCUCACGGGCUCUGCCCAGGGGUGACGCCGGAGGCCGGAAGGCCCAGAGGGGCCCUCGAGCUCCCGGCACUCUGUGGCCGCCUCACGCCUCUUGUCCACUAGCCGCUGCCGAUUUCAGGCACUUGUUGAAAACUCCGUCGGGCCCGGCCAGGGCCAGCCUCCCCCUCGGCCUCCUUCGGACGCGGAUUUGGCCCCUCCUGGGCCAGCCUCUAACUCGAGUCCACCCGCCAGCCAGGCAGCCGGGAGGAGGCACGAGGUUAGGCACCAGGGACCCACAGGAAGGCCAGAGCCGCCUCCUGGCCUCAGCCAGCUCCCAGGGAAGGCGCAGACCAUCUGCUGAGCACCCGCUGCCCAGAGCAGGCGCUUUGUGCUCCGGCCUGUUGCUAUAGCCCAUAUUCCCUCCCCGGAGCCCACGAGCAGCCAAGAAGGAGUCCUGCGGCAGAGGAG
This 1014-nucleotide long non-coding RNA is filed under the name Monodelphis domestica (gray short-tailed opossum). RNAcentral's name for it is "lncRNA (ENSMODG00000046128.1)". Lineage: Eukaryota; Metazoa; Chordata; Mammalia; Didelphimorphia; Didelphidae. The record is from RNAcentral.